UACAGAGGGUGCAAGCGUUAAUCGGAAUUACUGGGCGUAAAGCGUGCGUAGACGGUAGCGUAAGUCGGGUGUGAAAGCCCCGGGCUCAACCUGGGAAUUGCAUUCGAGACUGCUCUGCUAGGGUGCGGAAGAGGGGAGCGGAAUUUCCGGUGUAGCGGUGAAAUGCGUAGAUAUCAGGAGGAACACCGAUGGCGAAGGCAGGUCUCUGGGCUGACACUGACGCUCAUGCACGAAAGCGUGGGGAGCAAACAGG
This 253-nucleotide ribosomal RNA is filed under the name uncultured bacterium. Its description in RNAcentral is "partial 16S ribosomal RNA". It matches the Rfam family "Bacterial small subunit ribosomal RNA", at positions 524 to 776 of the family's 1533-position model. The record is from RNAcentral.